This is a non-coding RNA of Pelobates cultripes (western spadefoot toad), 206 nucleotides long. The record is from the annotation of a GenBank genome assembly. Lineage: Eukaryota; Metazoa; Chordata; Amphibia; Anura; Pelobatidae.
CCCCUGUUAUGAAAUCUUAGGCUGGGGAAAUGUAAGCAAGUAAAAUAAGAGUGAAGAUUUUAUCUGUGGAGGUAAUGUAAGGUUAGAGGUUCUAGAAUGCUUCUAGAGUGAUUCGGAAGAACUCAUUCUUGCUGUAGAGAUGUCAGAAUCGAGAUAGCAUAUGGAACUAAGGAGGGGUUUUGCUCUAGAGAGAAAUAGACAAGAGA